UUUCAAUCAAUAUUUUUAGUUUCCAGGUAUGUACAAUGUCCAUCUUGAAUUAAAUCAGUUUUGUGUUUAAAAAUCUGCAUUUGAAACUUGUUUGUUUAGCUGAUUUCUGGUGUUUGGUUUGGAAAUCAUGAUUGUUUUGGAUUUAAAGAUAAUUAGACCAUGUUUUAGUAUUAGAUGAUUGCCAAUCUUAAAACACGAAAUCUGUGAAGUUUUGCUACAUUCAUAUGUCAAAACUAACAUCUUUGGAUUACUAAAUCAGUAUGUGUAUGCACUUGUGAAACCUAUGUCCAAAGCUUUCCUCCUAUGGCAACAUAACAGGGAAGUGAAUCUGACCCUUUAAAUGGUCAGAUUCAUCCCUUAAGAGUGCAUAAUAAUCUGGAUUUUUUUUAGUAGUAUAUGUUUAUAUUGUUCCCCUUCCCCUCUCUUCCCCUUUACUGAAAUGGGAACCAUGGAGUAAAUCAUGGAUUGGGAAUCAUUGUUUGUCUAUAAGGCUGACCCUCAAUAUGGUUAGACUUAUGGACACAUUGUCUUUUCCUUCUUACUCAUUUUGUGUUAGGAUCAACUUGGUUACAUUACUCUAGUAGCAUGUUGAAUACUUCACUUAGCUUAAGUUCAUUUAAUGAUUAAGAGGAUGCAGAAUGUUUGAAUCUGAACACUUGUCUAGCAGUUGUUGCCCUUUAGUUAAUGUUAAGGUUACAUUGGUUCAAGACUCUUAUGUAAAUUAAUGGCUAUUAUUUGCUUGUAUUGGCAUGUGAUAUGGCCAUAAGGCCAAGAGGUUUUCAAAGCUGAAGCUGAAAUGUGAGAGGAUAGCUCCAUAGCUGCUCCCUUGCAAAUACACACGAUGUAAGAGGAAACUUAAGGACAAAAAGGGAAUCAGAAUUAGAAUAUUCUUGAGCCCAUUCAAGCAGUACUAUAAGUUGUGAAAGAUAGGUUUUUUUGUUGUUGCUCUAUUCUAGACAUGAAAGUGUUGUAAAAGGACUUUCUAUAACGUUAAAAUUCAUUCUUUUUUUG
This 1011-nucleotide long non-coding RNA is filed under the name Nicotiana tabacum (common tobacco). Its description in RNAcentral is "long non-coding RNA (NTAB_LNC003739)". Lineage: Eukaryota; Viridiplantae; Streptophyta; Magnoliopsida; Solanales; Solanaceae. The record is from RNAcentral.